Silurus meridionalis is the source of this 400-nucleotide long non-coding RNA. RefSeq lists it as uncharacterized. NCBI's taxonomy places the organism in Eukaryota, Metazoa, Chordata, Actinopteri, Siluriformes, Siluridae. The record is from RefSeq and is a predicted model, not a curated record. The transcript is spliced from 3 exons.
UUAAAAUAAAACAUUGCUAUAUCAGUUAGUUAUUUGAGAGACAGGAUGGAGCUCAGUCCACUUUCUGUGAUGUUCUUGCUAUUUACAUUUAUGCCAGAUGUCCAGACUAAAGGGAAUCCCAAAGCUGUGGUGUCCAUAACGCCUGGUACACAUGUGUUUAUUGGAUAGCGGGUUACUUUCAGAUGUGAUGCACAGAAACGAGGACAGAAUAAAAAACCAUACAGUUGGAAUAAAAAUAAAAAGACAAUUCCAAAAGAAGGAAAAAUAUUCCAUACAGAGGUAAAUAUGCAAGUGUUAAUAAUUCAGUCAGCUGAAUCCUCUGACAGUGGUGACUACACCUGCACAGGACACUGGGGAGACUGUGUGAGCUCAGAGGUCAGUGAUGCUGUCACACUGACUG